RNAcentral lists this transfer RNA (73 nucleotides) under Pedinomonas minor. RNAcentral's name for it is "tRNA-Thr". It matches the Rfam family "tRNA". Rfam says of the family: Transfer RNA (tRNA) molecules are approximately 80 nucleotides in length. Their secondary structure includes four short double-helical elements and three loops (D, anti-codon, and T loops). The record is from RNAcentral. Lineage: Eukaryota; Viridiplantae; Chlorophyta; Pedinophyceae; Pedinomonadales; Pedinomonadaceae.
GCCUUCUUAGCUCAAUUGGCAGAGCAUCGGUCUUGUAAACCGAAGGUUAUCGGUUCAACUCCGAUAGAAGGCU